CGCAGCCACAAGUCCCAGACACCUCGGCCACGGGAAUAAAUAAGGAAAUAAACAAACCCAGCGCUCUCUGGGGGAAAUGGGGGCGGCGAACAUCAGGCACAAAUAGAGCCAAGAUCGAUUUCCUUAGGGAGGGGGAGGGGGCUCUUGGCAAAGGGAGGUGGGAGCCCCCGUCGCCCCCGGCGCCCCCGAUUGGGAAGAAAUCAGAUUGUUUAGGGUGGAACGGGGUCCCUUGGAGGAGGCACGAGAGUCCUUUUAUUCUUUUAAAAUUAUUUUUUUCCGAGGAGGAGCUCUCGGCAAACGAAUAUCGAGGCGCCGCUCGAGCUGGUUCAGUUGGGGACGCGAUAACUCAGCGCCGGCUUGCAGACCUGCGUAGAAGAUUCGCAGUUUUGGGGGGCUCACCGAUGGCCAUAACGUCUAAGCGCCCCAUGGCGGAUGCGCUCCAGCUUUUGCGCGCGGCUGGAAACGCGCUGGGUGCGGUGGCGAAACGUACAGCGUAGACGUUCCCAGAAGAGCUAGAGGCCUGUCCCGGAGUGAGCAAGCGAGCGCCGGGCCUUCCGCAAGGGUAAGCUCCCCGCCAAGGGGCCGAGAGGGAAGCAGACGUCGGAAUCUGGCCUCGCACCCCAGCUUCGGGGUUCCAUUCCGGGUUUCGCUCGCGCCUAACCCUCAGGGCUUUCCGAAGCAGGGCCUGGCUCCAGGCCCGGGCCGUUUGGGGCCGGAGCGGCCGCGAAAAGCCAGGAACGCCGCCGACCGAACAGCCCCAGGAGCCAAGGUCAGGCCCGCGGGGAGAACGGGCAGUGGUUUCCAGCGCAGGACACGGGCGCCCGGGGCCAACCGGGCCGCAGACUCUGCUGCUUCCAGCAAGCAGGACCCGCGUCCCUCCGUCUGGCCAGGCCGCACUGACCGACCCCAAAUUCUCUUCCGUUUCCCAAGUUAUUAACAAUUAUCUUUUCCUCCAUCUGAGGUCCGUUGGGUGCAGCAUUUGCUUCCAGACGCCGAAAGUGCGAGCCGAAAUCCUUCACCGGGGAUGGGUUCCCGCUUGACCUCGGGGCCGAGGUGGGCCGGAAGCGGAGGCCUGGGCCCCGCCGGCGCUGGAGGGGGAAGGCGAAACUCCGAGCGGGGCCAGUUCCUUUCCGUUCGGCUCCCUUGUCUCGCAUCCCCGGCGCGGACCCCGCCACCCCCCAGACCAGCUCGCAGAGGAUUCCGAAGCCUCAGCAUCCCUGGCCCUCUGUUCCAAACGCUCCAGAGUCGGACCACGCACCGAAUUGGAUAAAUUAGAGACCUCAGCCUGUGCUGAGCCUUUCCAUUCCUUCCCCCAGUCACUGGGCAGUGAGUUCCAAAGCGAGGCGGCAAUGUGCAGCCUUCGCUCCUUCUUCGGGAGGAUCCCCGCUUUCCGCGACCUGCUCCCAGCUGGGUUUGCCCCCCAAAAUGUAUUUUCCUCAUUUUGCAAAAUUCCGGCCCCGAUUUUAAUAUCACUGUGGGUAGAAGACUAGAGGUUCCCACUUAAAGAGUCCAAAACAAAACCAGGCGAAAGCAAGAGGAAACCACUGUUGGAUCUUCCCUCCUGCCUCUGUUUUUAACAGAAUCGAGUCCCAAACCACCUUCUUUUCUUUCCUCCCCAAAAAGAAGUGGCUUAAAAAGACA
Molecule: long non-coding RNA, 1641 nt
Organism: Mustela lutreola (European mink)
Lineage: Eukaryota; Metazoa; Chordata; Mammalia; Carnivora; Mustelidae
Exons: 2
Source: RefSeq, a predicted model, not a curated record